This 650-nucleotide ribosomal RNA is filed under the name Antrodia mappa. RNAcentral's name for it is "eukaryotic LSU rRNA". The stretch from base 242 to 395 matches the Rfam family "5.8S ribosomal RNA". The record is from RNAcentral. Lineage: Eukaryota; Fungi; Basidiomycota; Agaricomycetes; Polyporales; Fomitopsidaceae.
GUCGUAACAAGGUUUCCGUAGGUGAACCUGCGGAAGGAUCAUUAUUGAAUUUUGAAUGGGGUUGUAGCUGGCCUUUCAACGGGCAUGUGCACACCUCGCUUCAAUCCACUCACCACUGUGCACAAUUUGUAGGUCGGCUUUAGGAUCGGGUCUCUAGCGGGAUCUGUUUCGGGCCGUCCUAUGUAUCAUUACAAACAUUUAAAGUCUAAAGAAUGUACUCGCGUUAAACGCAUUUAUAUACAACUUUCAGCAACGGAUCUCUUGGCUCUCGCAUCGAUGAAGAACGCAGCGAAAUGCGAUAAGUAAUGUGAAUUGCAGAAUUCAGUGAAUCAUCGAAUCUUUGAACGCACCUUGCGCUCCUUGGUAUUCCGAGGAGCAUGCCUGUUUGAGUGUCAUGGAAUUCUCAACUCGCCAAUCUUUGCAUUGGCGCUGUUGGACUUGGAGGCUUUUUUUGCCGGAUUGUAAUGAUUCGGCUCCUCUUGAAUGUAUUAGCUCGGACCUUUGCGGAUCAGCUUUUGGUGUGAUAAUUGUCUACGCCGCUAACUGUGAUGCAUGAGUAGGAUCGGCUUACAAUUGUCUUUAAACGGACAAUAAAACUUAUGACCUCUGACCUCAAAUCAGGUAGGAUUACCCGCUGAACUUAAGCAUAU